GACGUAGGGGACGAGCGUUGUCCGGAUUUAUUGGGCGUAAAGCGCGCGCAGGCGGCUUGGUAAGUCGGGUGUGAAAAUCCGAGGCUCAACCUCGGACGUGCACCUGAAACUGCCAGGCUAGAGGUAGGUAGGGGAGAUCGGAAUUCCUGGUGUAGCGGUGAAAUGCGCAGAUAUCAGGAGGAACACCGGUGGCGAAGGCGGAUCUCUGGGCCUUAUCUGACGCUCAGGCGCGAAAGCUAGGGGAGCGAACAGG
This 253-nucleotide ribosomal RNA is filed under the name uncultured prokaryote. RNAcentral's name for it is "partial 16S ribosomal RNA". It matches the Rfam family "Bacterial small subunit ribosomal RNA", at positions 524 to 776 of the family's 1533-position model. The record is from RNAcentral.